RNAcentral lists this ribosomal RNA (465 nucleotides) under Vreelandella stevensii. RNAcentral's name for it is "partial 16S ribosomal RNA". It matches the Rfam family "Bacterial small subunit ribosomal RNA", at positions 338 to 795 of the family's 1533-position model. The record is from RNAcentral. Lineage: Bacteria; Pseudomonadati; Pseudomonadota; Gammaproteobacteria; Oceanospirillales; Halomonadaceae.
CCUACGGGGGGCUGCAGUGGGGAAUAUUGGACAAUGGGGGCAACCCUGAUCCAGCCAUGCCGCGUGUGUGAAGAAGGCCCUCGGGUUGUAAAGCACUUUCAGUGAGGAAGAACGCCUGGUGGUUAAUACCCAUCAGGAAAGACAUCACUCACAGAAGAAGCACCGGCUAACUCCGUGCCAGCAGCCGCGGUAAUACGGAGGGUGCGAGCGUGAAUCGGAAUUACUGGGCGUAAAGCGCGCGUAGGUGGCUUGAUAAGCCGGUUGUGAAAGCCCCGGGCUCAACCUGGGAACGGCAUCCGGAACUGUCAGGCUAGAGUGCAGGAGAGGAAGGUAGAAUUCCCGGUGUAGCGGUGAAAUGCGUAGAGAUCGGGAGGAAUACCAGUGGCGAAGGCGGCCUUCUGGACUGACACUGACCCUGAGGUGCGAAAGCGUGGGUAGCAAACAGGAUUAGAUAACCCUGGAGUA